UGAUUGAUUCAGUGUGUUCACGCAGCAGUGCUUUGCAGCGGCUGUGUUUGGAUCUGUUUUUCAUAGCGGAGCAAAAUAGGCAACCGAAAAUAUGUUGCCUUAAACUUUAACCAGUGGGGCUCCAAGAGCAAGUGGAAUUCCGUCUGAAAAAAGUCAAGGGGAAACAGGCAGUUUUGAUGUUUUCCAAAACAAUGUGUGUCAGAAAGGCGGGACAGAUCAUAUACGCUCCACGAAAUCCUCAAGAGUGUUAGAGCAGGGAACGACUCGGUGAAGAAGAAAACAGCAAUGCAGUGAGAGCAGAAUAAAUUCAGAGCUCGUCCGCUCAUCAUGGGAUCCUUCCAAGCUUCGUAUGAAGUCUCCAGAGCUCUCCUCAUCUUCAGAGCAGAAGGAAACCCCGGGUUAAAGCUCCACAGCUCUGCGUGAUCGGGAGCAAAUGGAUAAACAUCCACCCCGCGCUCGUGUUUUCCGUGUUUGCUCCCAGAAGAAGAGAAGAGCUGCAACGUUCCAAAAAAAGAAACACAAAACCCACAUACAGCACCCAAACAAACACAGGCACUCCCACAUCUGUCACCGGCACAGAGGCUUUGAGACGUGUGCCGAGGACUCCGCGGGGGGAAGAAGGCCUCUAUGUUUUCGACACGUCUAAUCUCUCUAAGCCCCAUCGCUUUCAGAGUUUUUGAUGUUGAGAUAAGGGCGCAUCUGCACCCCCGGAAACCUUAAACCCCGUUCCUCCGCAAACACACCAGGGAUUGUCGGUUAGCGAGCGCUGCAGAUUAUAGAAAGACUUUUGGGGGUCAGAGGUCAGAUAAAUGUUUCACCGCAGCUGAUCGUGUUGAAAAUACAUUCUGACUCCUUCAAAGGGGGUUAACCUCAUGACCGUAAAUAUGCCAGGUAUCUGCUGGUGUAUAAACGUGCAGCCGUAAAACACUUCAAAUGAGCUGUUUGUGCCGGAGACCGAUAAGGACGCGCAGUAAUUUCUUUCUUUCUUUUUUCCGUCUUAGAAAAGAAUGCUAGUGUGCUACGCUUUAUAGAUCCAUUAAAAGAAAAUCUCUGGAAUGUCCAGAGGAAUAACAUCCAUUUCCUAUUUGUGCGGCUUGUACCAUCUGAAACGUAUUGCUCUUAAAGUUGAAAGCACCUGUACAGCGAGCGAAUAUUUUUGAAAUCAGCCGUGAUAAAACGGCGCGGAAAAUAAACGGAAUAAAAUUUGUGCAUAUUCUUUUUAUAUGGCGCCGUAAAGGCAAAAGCUAUCGUGUACUGAUAAGCCUUUCUGAUUUAGAAAAAAGCUGUGCUUUGUUUGAACUCAGAAGCGUUUUAACAAAGUAUCACGAUCAUUUCUGGUCGCGUUUUGUUACAACAAAGAAUAUUAGUGUUUCAUCAUAAACUGAAGAAGAGGGAAGCCACA
Molecule: long non-coding RNA, 1402 nt
Organism: Puntigrus tetrazona (Sumatra barb)
Lineage: Eukaryota; Metazoa; Chordata; Actinopteri; Cypriniformes; Cyprinidae
Exons: 3
Source: RefSeq, a predicted model, not a curated record